RNAcentral lists this long non-coding RNA (5042 nucleotides) under Homo sapiens (human). RNAcentral's name for it is "non-protein coding lnc-PDE3B-6:1". Lineage: Eukaryota; Metazoa; Chordata; Mammalia; Primates; Hominidae. The record is from RNAcentral.
GGAGCCUCGGAAGAUCUAGGAACUGAGACUGGCGGGAAAACCUGGCUGGGAGUGCCGGCGGCUGAGAGCUGCGGGGCAGCCCCUGUCACGUAGCCCUUCUAGGUUCCUGUGUAUGGCGGAUUCCCUCCAGUUUCUCCCGCUGGCGGGCUGCAUCUAAAGUCGUCCGAGUCAACAGCCGUGACUCUGGGUGAUACUAGCUCUCAUUAACCGUCCACAGAUUUGGGGUGUUAUGUGACUGAAAGGAACGAGGCUGCAGGAAAGCCACAAGAUAACGAUCCGUUUCUGUGUGUCAGCUGUAUUCUUCCUCGAGUAUCUUGUUUGUGUACAUGCUUUUAUUUGCAUUAAGGUUGGUGCAAAAGUAACUGCGGUUUUUGCCAUUUGGCAAAAUACUUUGGAAUGCUCUUCCUUAUUCCCUGGAGAUGUUAUCUUUCAAGGGUCUGUUGUCGUUAACCCCUCAUUGUUAUUAUGAUUGAUUUCUUCCACCAGACUUUGAACUCCAUGAGGGCGCUAAUGUCUUUCUAUGCCCCCAAAACCAAGCAUGGUACCUGACAGAUUAGGCCACUGAGAAAAAAUGGACACUUUCUUUCGAUUUAUCUAUUUCGUCUUUUGAGAGCAUCUUUCCAUAACGAAAUAGUCUGACAUCCACCGGCUAUUUAUAUUCUUUGUAAAAAAGAGACUGGGUGUGGUGGCUCACGCCUGUAAUCCCAGCGCUAUUGGAGGCCGAGGGCGGAGGAUCGCUUGAACCCAGGAGUUUGAGAUCACUAUAUUAUUUUAAUACAGUGGGACCUCGUCGCUACAAUAAUAAUAAGAAUAAGAAUAAGAAUAAGAAUAAUAAAAAAAAAAGGCUGGGCAUGUUGGCAUGGGCCUGUGGUCCCAGCCACUCGGGAAGCUGAUGUGGGAGGAUCUCUUGAGCCAGGGAGAUCGAGGUUGCAGUGAGCCAUGGUCGCGCCGUUGCACUCCAGCCCGCCUGGGCAAUAGAGAUUCUGUUUCAAAAAAAAAAAAAGCCGGGCGCGGUGGCUCACGCUUGUAAUCCCAACACUUUGGAAGGCAGAGGCGGGUGGAUCACGAGGUCAGGAGAUCGGACCAUCCUGGCCAACAUGGUAAAACCCCGUCUCUACUAAAAAUACAAAAAUUAGCCGGGCGUGGUGGCGUGCCUCAGGAGGCUGAGGCAGGAGAAUCGCUUGAACCCGGGAGGCGGAGGUUGCAGUGAGCUGAGAUCGUGCCACUGCACUCCAGCCUGGGCGACAGAGUGCGACUCCAUCUCAAAAAAAAAAAAACAAAAAACAAAGUACUAAAUUGUUCUCCAGAAAUGUUUUACCAACAUAUACUCUCAACAGUAGUAUAUGAGGUUACCUUCUCUAAUUCAUCAACACUGGUUAUUGUCGUAUUUCUGAAAAACACUGUUGAUUUGGUGGACUAAAUUAACAGAUUAAAUUAAUAGAUUGUUCUCUUUCGUUUCUCCAGGACCUAGCACAAUGCGUAGCACAUAUUAAGUGUUUAUAAAUAGUGCUAACUGAUUAAAUAAAUGCUCAUUUAAAAAUUGUCAUAUACUACAUAAACAUUUUGAAAAUUCUUUCCAUAUAUAUCUCUCUAGUCACAUGCCUCACACAGAUGUGUAAUAAAUAUACAAUUUUUAAAAAUAAGAUGAUACUGUUUUUAUUAAUACACUUAAAAAGUUAUAGCUAUCAUAUGUCCAUAAGUAAUGGUCUAUAUUAUUUUCAAUAGUCGCAUAGUAUUUUAUUGUAUGGAAAUAUAAUAAUUUGCUUAAUUAUUAGUGUGCAAUUCAAUUGUUUCCAAGUUAUUGGUAUCAUAAAAAUACUAUAAUGAAUAUUCUUGUACAUACACACCUAUUGUGUGCAUAAUUACCUUACCUGAUGAAGAAUUCAUAGAAGUAGAAUUGUGGGGUCAAAGGGAACUUACAUUUACAGUUAUGAUAAAUAUGGCUGAGUUGCAAAAAAAGUUAUAUCCAUUUAAUAUUCUACGCUGCCUGAGAGUCAGUUUUCUCUGUAUUCUUACCAACACUGGAUAUUAUAAGUACUUUUUACUUUUAUCAAUUUGAUAGGCCAAAAAAGAAAACCUGUUUCUUUAAUUUUUAAUUUUAUUUAUAGUUUUUUAUUACUAGUAAAAAAAUCUUUUGUUGUAUUUCUUGGCUGUUUAUGUUACUUUAGUGGAUUGCCACUUCAUUCCUUUCCUCAUAUUAUUGUGUUAAUCAUUUUCUUACUGACUUGUAGGAGCUUCCUGUAAUUAGGGAUGGUAACCUCUUAUUACUGUGUCACUUUUAUAGAAAGGGCCUUUUGGAUACAAAUAAAAGAAACCCACUGAAUCUAGUUUAAAUAAAAGUUGAAGCACACAUUGUAAAUAUGCAACAGGGAAUCACAUAAAUAUCCAAACAUAAUUUUUUGACUUUUUAAAAAUUUACUGAGAUAUUCCUAGUACCUGAAACAAAGCCUGGCAUAUAGUAGGCACUCACUAAACAUUUGUUGAAUGAAUGAGUGAUAGAUCUAUCACUCCAAACCUGUCCUUCUGAUAAUUAUUUCCUAAGCAAAUAUCUGGGGCUUUGCGAUACAUCCUUUAUUCACAGCAAUUGUCUGUACUCUUCAGAAUGGCUGUUAUCAAAGCUCUACUUGUAGACCAAAAGAAGGGGCAUUUGGUUGACCUUUUUGUUAAGAAUGAAAGUCCCAAGGGCUUAUUAAAGGUUUAUAUGAUUUUCAGCUCCUCUUUGUGUGUUUUGGGGAUUUGGCUCAAGAUACAUCGUUAAAAACAACAACAACAACAACUUUUUUUUUAGAGACAGAGUCUAGCUGUGUAGCCCAGGCUAGAGUACAGUGGCAUGAUCAUAGCUCACUGUAACCUUGAACUCCUGGGCUCAAGCCAUCCUAUUGCCUCAGCCUCCCAAGUAGCUAGGGCUACAGGUGCACACCACCAUACCUGGCUAAUUUUAAAAUUUUUUGUAGAGACAGGGUCCUACUAUGUUGCCCAGGCUGGUCAUGAAUGCCUGGCCUUAAAGUGAUCCUCCCUCCUUGGCCUCCCAAAGUGCUGAAAUUACAGGAGUGAGCCACCAUACUCAGCUCCUCAGCUCUCAGGAUACAUUUUUUUUUUUUUUUUUUAAGACAGGGUAUUUCUCUGUUGCCCAGGCUGGAGUGCAAUGGCACAAUCACUUCAGCCUGGACCUCCUGGGCCCAAGUGAUCCUCCUACCUCAGCCUCCCAAGUAGCUGGGACUACAGGCAAGUACCCCCAUGCCCAGAUAAUUUUAUUUUUUUUGUAGAGACAAGGUCUUACUUUGUUGCCCAGGUUGGUCUCAAACUCCUGGACUCAAGCUAUCCUCCUGCCUGGGCCUCCCAAAGUGCUGGGAUUAUAGGCAUGAGCUACCAUGCCCGGCCUCAAGAUACAUCUUGAGCAUUAAUCAGAAGCUGAAAAACUGAUCAAUAAAGAUAUUUUGUAGGAAGACUAGGUCAGCGAACAUAGUACUACUUCUUUAAAGGUCAUUGGAAGCCAGGCAAAGUGGCUCACACCUGUAAUCCCGACACUUUUUUUUCUCCUGCUAAUGCAGGAGAAUUGCUUAGGGCCAGGAGUUACCAGCCUGAGCAACAUAGCAAGACCCUGUCUCAAAAAAAAAAAAAAAAAAAAAAAAAAAAAUGAAGGGAGGGAGAGAGAGAGGGAGGAAGAAAGGAAGGAAAGAAAAUUAGCCAGGUGUAGUUGUAUGCACCUGUAGUCCCAGCUACUCGAGAGGCUGAGGUGACAGGAUCACAUGAGCCCAGUGUCAGGCCUCUGAGCUCAAGCUAAGCCAUCAUAUCCCCAGUGACCUGCACGUAUACAUCCAGAUGGCCUGAAGCAACUGAAGAUUCACAAAAGAAGUGAAAAUAGCCUUAACUGACGAAGUUCCACCAUUGAUUUAUUUCUGCCCCAACCUAACUGAUCAAUGUACUUUGUAAUCUCCCCCACCCUUAAGAAGGUUCUUUGUAAUUCUCCCCACCCUUGAGAAUGUACUUUGUGAGAUCCACCCCCUGCCCCCAAAACAUUGCUCUUAACUCCACUGCCUAUCCCAAAACCUCUAAGAACUAAUAAUGAUAAUCCACCACCCGUUGCUGACUCUCUUUUUGGACUCAGCCCGUCUGCACCCAGGUGAAAUAAACAGCCAUGUUGCUCACACAAAGCCUGUUUGGUAGUCUCUUCACACGGACACGUAAGACAUUUGGUGCCGAAGACCCGGGUCAGCGGACUCCUUUGGGAGACCAGUCCGCUGUCCUCACCCUCACUCUGUGAAGAGAUCCACCUAUGACCUCGGGUCCUCAGACCAACCAGCCCAAGGAACAUCUCACCGAUUUUAAAUCGGGAGCCCACUGGAAAUCAGACUAUCCAACUUGCCUGGCAGCCACUCCCAGAGCCCCUGGAACUCUGGUCCAAGGCUCUGACUGACUCCUUCCCAGAUCUCGGCUUAGCGGCUGAAGACUGACACUGCCCAAUCUUCUCGGAAGCCUCCUGGACCAUCACACUUACAGUGGAGGACAGGAAGGUCAGGCCUCUGAGCCCAAGCUAAGCCAUCAUAUCCCCAGUGACCUGCACGUAUACAUCCAGAUGGCCUGAAGCAACUGAAGAUCCACAAAAGAAGUGAAAAUAGCCUUAACUGACGAAGUUCCACCAUUGAUUUAUUUCUGCCCCAACCUAACUGAUCAAUGUACUUUGUAAUCUCCCCCACCCUUAAGAAGGUUCUUUGUAAUUCUCCCCACCCUUGAGAAUGUACUUUGUGAGAUCCACCCCCUGCCCCUAAAACAUUGCUCUUAACUCCACUGCCUAUCCCAAAAUCUUUAAGAACUAAUUAAUGAUAAUCCACCACCCGUUGCUGACUCUCUUUUCGGACUCAGCCCGCCUGCACCCAGGUGAAAUAAACAGCCAUGUUGCUCACACAAAGCCUGUUUGGUGUUCUCUUCACACGGACACAUGAGACACCCAGGAGUUCAAGUUUGCAAUGAACUAUGAUCAGCCUGGGUGACAAAGACCCUGUCUCAAAAAAAAAAAAAAAAAAAAUUAAAGGUAAUUGGUA